This 1324-nucleotide long non-coding RNA is filed under the name Rattus norvegicus (Norway rat). Its description in RNAcentral is "long non-coding RNA NONRATT021849". Lineage: Eukaryota; Metazoa; Chordata; Mammalia; Rodentia; Muridae. The record is from RNAcentral.
CGGCCGCUGCUGCAGCCACUUCCCAGGACCCUGAGCAACACCUGACAGAGCUGAGAGAACCAGCUCCUGGCACCAACCAGCGCCAACCCAGCAAGAAAGCCUCAAAGGGCAAGGGACUCCGAGGGAGCGCCAAGAUUUGGUCCAAGUCGAACUGAAAGGACUUGUUUCUUCCCUGGGAAUGUGGGGUCCCAGCUGCCUACCUGCCUAGCCCUUAGGAUUCCUCAGAGAGCCUUCCUGUGCCCCUGGCCAGCUGAUAAUGCUAGCUCAUGACUUCCAUCUCCUCCACCCCCAAGCAUAACCACAUCCUCUGUGGGGAGGAGGCCAGUACAGGUCAUGCUAUGUUGGUACUUCUUACGUGUCCCAUUCUCCUCCCCACCACGCUUGCUCCCAUUGUUCUUUAGCACUGUGUCUGCCCAUGACCCCCGGCAUUGAGCAGGCCGGCAGUCCUACAGAGGGUGCUGGCUCUCCACUACCCACACCUACCCCUGCAUGCCUAACCUGCAGCUCCUCCUCCUGCCUAGUGGGCUGCAUCUGAAAAGCCAUGGGGAAGGGGGUCUCCACCUUCAUCCCAGCCUUAGAGUUCUGGAGUCAGUCUGCUACCCUGGGAGUCACUGGACAUUUUCCUCCCAGAACCCCAUCACACUACAUUGUCUCUUGUCCUCUCUCAUCUCCUUGGGCCUGGGGAUACUGCUGCUCCAGUGACCCCAGAGCCUGAGGACAACUAUUUCUGAGAUGUUAAGAAAUGGUUCUUGGUUAGCUAAUCAUCUUAGGAAACACAAUGGAAAUCCUGCCAGAACUUAUAUCUCCUGUGGUUUUGGUGGGGAAGGAAAUAUAGAUUGUAUAUUAAAAAUAAAAAGUAUAUAUGAAUAGGUCUAUAUAUAACAUGACACAGAAAUAAAUCUAUGAGAAAUCUAUGUACAAAAAUGCCAGGAACUGGGCCUCUUCUGUCUUUGGUGUUUGUUAACAGGGAGAAGAUUAACCCCCAGUCCUCUGUAAAGCCAAGUGCCAAGUGAAAAGAACCAGACACUUUGCAGACUCUGGGCCUAGCAGCUAGGAGGCCUAGACCCUGGACAGAUUGCUCCACCCUCAGGCCACUGUCAGCAGUAACGAACCGUCAUGUAUAACAAUGGAGAUGCAGACUGACCGUCUCUGUCCCUGCAAGGACCUCCAGUGUAGUCUGCUUCCCUUCACCUCCGAGAAUCACAAGGGAGGUGAUGGUAGUGAACCUGACUUUUCACAUUGAAAGCACAUAAAACUAUUAGAUUUGUUGGUCUCUGUCCCUUUUGUCCAGAUUGAGAGUUUCCAAGAAGUAUGUGUGUCAGGA